GAUGAAGAACGUAGCGAAAUGCGAUACUUGGUUUGAAUUGCAGAAUCCCGUGAACCAUCGAGUCUUUGAACGCAAGUUGCGCCCGAAGCCAUCAGGUUGAGGGCACGUCUGCCUGGGCGUCACAUAUCGUUGCCCAAUGCCUAUUGCAGUGCAAUAGGAAUUUCUAGGGCGAAUGAUGGCUUCCCGUGAGCGUUGUUGCCUCGCGGUUGGUUGAAAAUCGAGUCCUUGGUAGGGUGUGCCAUGGUAGAUGGUGGUCGAGUUAGAACGAUACCGAUCAUGUGCAUGCUCCCCAAAAUAUGGCCUCUAUGACCCACACGCGUCUUUUGACGCUCAUGACGAGACCUCAGGUCAGGCGGGGCUACCCGCUGAAUUUAAGCAUAUCAAUAAGCGGAGGA
This 395-nucleotide unclassified non-coding RNA is filed under the name soil metagenome. Its description in RNAcentral is "partial contains 5.8S ribosomal RNA, internal transcribed spacer 2, and large subunit ribosomal RNA". The stretch from base 1 to 122 matches the Rfam family "5.8S ribosomal RNA", at positions 35 to 154 of the family's 154-position model. The record is from RNAcentral.